CGAUUUCCGGCGAAGCCGCAGCCGCAGCCGCCGACAACCCAGGUAAAACCCUAUCUCCCUAUUCUCAUUUUCUUUUUCUUUUUCCUCAUCUUUUCCCUUUUUUUUUAAAUUAAAAUCUGAAAUCCCUCCUCUCUUUCUCUCUUGGCAGAACGGAGACCACUCUGUGGCUCCGCCGCCGUCCGUCGACCACCGGCAGCCCCGCGGCUGCCGCCCCCUAACCUCGAUUCACA
Molecule: long non-coding RNA, 230 nt
Filed under: Salvia miltiorrhiza (redroot sage)
Lineage: Eukaryota; Viridiplantae; Streptophyta; Magnoliopsida; Lamiales; Lamiaceae
Description: long non-coding RNA (SMIL_LNC004337)
Source: RNAcentral